This 494-nucleotide ribosomal RNA is filed under the name uncultured bacterium. RNAcentral describes it as "partial 16S ribosomal RNA". It matches the Rfam family "Bacterial small subunit ribosomal RNA", at positions 28 to 507 of the family's 1533-position model. The record is from RNAcentral.
GACGAACGCUGGCGGCGUGCUUAACACAUGCAAGUCGAACGGAAAGGCCUGCUUUCCCUUGUGGAUUGCGGGUACUCGAGUGGCGAACGGGUGAGUAACACGUGAGUGAUCUGCCCCCAACUUGGGUAUAAGCCUGGGAAACUGGGUCUAAUUCCCGAUAGGACUGCAGGGUGGUGCCUGUGGUGGAAAACGAUUUUCUAGUGGUUGGGGAUGAGCUCGCGGCCUAUCAGCUUGUUGGUGGGGUAAUGGCCUACCAAGGCGGCGACGGGUAGCCGGCCUGGGAGGGUGGACGGCCACAUUGGGACUGCGAUACGGCCCAGACUCCUACGGGAGGCAGCAGUGGGGAAUAUUGCACAAUGGGCGGAAGCCUGAUGCAGCGACGCCGCGUGGGGGAUGACGGCCUUCGGGUUGUAAACUCCUUUCGACCGCGAGGAAGCCACCUGGUUGGAAGGGUGGUGACGGUAGUGGUAGAAGAAGCACCGGCUAACUACGUG